This 449-nucleotide ribosomal RNA is filed under the name uncultured bacterium. RNAcentral describes it as "partial 16S ribosomal RNA". It matches the Rfam family "Bacterial small subunit ribosomal RNA", at positions 330 to 794 of the family's 1533-position model. The record is from RNAcentral.
ACCAGACUCCUACGGGAGGCAGCAGUGGGGGAUAUUGCACAAUGGGGGGAACCCUGAUGCAGCGACGCCGCGUGGGUGAAGGAGCGUUUCGGCGCGUAAAGCCCUAUCGGCAGGGAAGAAGAAAUGACGGUACCUGAAUAAGAAGCACCGGCUAAAUACGUGCCAGCAGCCGCGGUAAUACGUAUGGUGCAAGCGUUAUCCGGAUUUACUGGGCGUAAAGGGAGCGCAGGCGGCGCGCCAAGUCUGAUGUGAAACCCCGGGGCUCAACCCCGGGCAUGCAUUGGAAACUGGCGGGCUGGAGUGCCGGAGAGGUAAGCGGAAUUCCUAGUGUAGCGGUGAAAUGCGUAGAUAUUAGGAAGAACACCAGUGGCGAAGGCGGCUUUCUGGACUGAAACUGACGCUGAGGCACGAAAGCGUGGGGAGCGAACAGGAUUAGAUACCCCAGUAUA